AUGGCUGACGACGAAAUCGCCAAGAAGAAGGCAUUGGCUGAUGCCGAGGCUGCUGCCGCCGCCGCCAUGUUGGCCUGGCCAACCGGAGGGUAUGAGUCGUUCAUCCCCUAUUUGCUCGUUCGUGUGCUAGCCGUAUAUAUGAUGUUCAUAGAUGAACUUCCCCGCAUCAUCUCAUCCUCUUGUUGGGCACUUGAGUGUGACACUCAGAAGACUGGGGGCCUCCUUGGAAAGCUACCUAUUUCAGCCAUUGUUGCUUGUGAUGUUAAGGUCCAUACAUUGUGUAAAGUUAUUGACCCUAAGGCAGAAUUUGAUCCUCUCUUGGUUCUUUCAAUGAUCUAUAAUGCUGCCAAACAAUCUCUUGGUGUAUCUGUUAGUAACAGAAACUUUUGGAUUCAGAUUCAAAGGCCUUAUUCCCCUGAGGCUGUUGAUUUGGCACUUCAGCGCUGGUCUGGUAUUUCAGAUCCCAUAAGAGUAGAAGCAGUUCUUAUUCCAUGUGUGUUGGAUGAUGAACCUAAGAUGGUAAGCCUUAAUAUAUGA
RNAcentral lists this ribosomal RNA (537 nucleotides) under Triticum aestivum (bread wheat). RNAcentral describes it as "partial small subunit ribosomal RNA". Lineage: Eukaryota; Viridiplantae; Streptophyta; Magnoliopsida; Poales; Poaceae. The record is from RNAcentral.